UCCCUGAGACCCUAACUCGUGA
This 22-nucleotide non-coding RNA is filed under the name Petromyzon marinus (sea lamprey). RNAcentral also lists the same sequence under 6 other names. Lineage: Eukaryota; Metazoa; Chordata; Hyperoartia; Petromyzontiformes; Petromyzontidae. The record is from RNAcentral.